UUGUUUUUUGUUCUUUGGGCUUGUCGCCCGUGUUUUCCUUGCUUCCCUCUGCCUUCUUUUUUAUUUUUUGCAUCUAUCUUCUUCUUUUGUUUUUUGUUCUUUGGGUUUGCCGCCCGUAUUUCUUUGCUUCCCUCUCCCUUCAACGUUGCUGUGUUGUUGCUGGUAUUCGUUCAGCUUUUCACUGUGGUUUGCUGGGUAUUCUUAAGGUUGGAUUGAUUAUUCAGAAAUGGAAAAUUGUUCACUACCCAAGAUCUGGGAAUGGUAUUGCCGAUGUGGGCAAGAUUGAAGAUCUGCUGAUGGUUAUGCCUUAAUUCUUUCUCUGCUGAUUUUUUCUUUCAUUUAUCAUGUUACUGAAAAGUUCUCUGUUUUUUGUUGUAGUCUCUUUGAUGGUGCCUUGGUCAUUUUCUAAAAUGAACGACAUUCUGUUCCAUCUUUUUUGCUAGUGUUAUUUCUUUUGGAUUUUUUUAUCUCUGAUUGGCUCGAUUGCCUUUUCUUUGCUGUUUAUGUUUUAUUGGUGACUAUGUCUAGCUAUUUUUGGUUGCAAGCUUUGUUGCUGAUUUUCAUUUUAUGGCCUUUGUCUUGCUGUCAUUGUUGGGAUUUAUUUGAAAACUGAUCCGGGAGUAUGGGAUUGUUUCAUUGAGUUUGUUGAUUUUUGCAAGCUGAUUCUGUAGUGAUGGAAGACGUCAUCGCCUAGUCUGUUGUCGUGAUAAAAGCAAGGCGAGAGUAUAAAGGAAGAGCAGGUGGUAGACCAUGUUCUUGAUUGCAGUUAGGCAAAACAAAUAGUAGCUCCUCAUUAACUAUUUGAAAGAAUAUCCCAUGAAAAGGGACAGAAAGGAAGCAAGGUGUUUCUAUGUGCAAAAAAAAAUUUACGGGAAUCACAUCAUGGAUCUCUUGCAGAUUGAAUUAGUACUUCAUGCUAUAUGAAAUGUGGAAGGUCUCCUUAUGCUCAGAGUUCAUAUGACAUCUAAUGUUCCUCCCGAUGAUACCCUUAAAGUGAGGGUUAAACUAGUAAAUGCCAUACUUGAUUGGCUUUCUUCCCUCUUUCGGUUUCAGGAUAGUUCAUGGUAUGCGCAUUAAAGAUGGAAAAGCAACAUGUCUCCCAAUGUCGUUUGGAGGUGCUAAAUUUAUGAAGGUAUACAUUGAAAAGGUUGAAAAACGUUGGCUGAUUAGUUCUAAUUAGUGAUUUUUUUAUUUAUCGUCAUGCUAUUUAUAAGGGAAUAUGCGUCUUAAAUUAAUGGAAUAUAAAGCAUUGCAAGGUUGUAUAGCUAUAUUUCUAAUUUCCUUGAGCUGUUCUUUAAGUAGUUUAAACUUAUGAAUUUAAACAGUAUUGGAAUUAAAAUACA
This 1343-nucleotide small RNA is filed under the name Theobroma cacao (cacao). RNAcentral describes it as "sRNA Tc02v2_g021760". Lineage: Eukaryota; Viridiplantae; Streptophyta; Magnoliopsida; Malvales; Malvaceae. The record is from RNAcentral.